This 1343-nucleotide ribosomal RNA is filed under the name uncultured bacterium. RNAcentral's name for it is "16S ribosomal RNA". It matches the Rfam family "Bacterial small subunit ribosomal RNA", at positions 28 to 1378 of the family's 1533-position model. The record is from RNAcentral.
GACGAACGCUGGCGGCGUGCUUAACACAUGCAAGUCGAACGGAAAGGCCCUGCUUUUGUGGGGUGCUCGAGUGGCGAACGGGUGAGUAACACGUGAGUAACCUGCCCUUGACUUUGGGAUAACUUCAGGAAACUGGGGCUAAUACCGGAUAGGAGCUCCUGCCGCAUGGUGGGGGUUGGAGAGUUUCGGCGGUUGGGGAUGGACUCGCGGCUUAUCAGCUUGUUGGUGGGGUAGUGGCUUACCAAGGCUUUGACGGGUAGCCGGCCUGAGAGGGUGACCGGCCACAUUGGGACUGAGAUACGGCCCAGACUCCUACGGGAGGCAGCAGUGGGGAAUAUUGCACAAUGGGCGGAAGCCUGAUGCAGCAACGCCGCGUGCGGGAUGACGGCCUUCGGGUUGUAAACCGCUUUCGCCUGUGACGAAGCGUGAGUGACGGUAAUGGGUAAAGAAGCACCGGCUAACUACGUGCCAGCAGCCGCGGUGAUACGUAGGGUGCGAGCGUUGUCCGGAUUUAUUGGGCGUAAAGGGCUCGUAGGUGGUUGAUCGCGUCGGAAGUGUAAUCUUGGGGCUUAACCCUGAGCGUGCUUUCGAUACGGGUUGACUUGAGGAAGGUAGGGGAGAAUGGAAUUCCUGGUGGAGCGGUGGAAUGCGCAGAUAUCGGGAGGAACACCAGUGGCGAAGGCGGUUCUCUGGGCCUUUCCUGACGCUGAGGAGCGAAAGCGUGGGGAGCGAACAGGCUUAGAUACCCUGGUAGUCCACGCUGUAAACGGUGGGUACUAGGUGUGGGGUCCAUUCCACGGGUUCCGUGCCGUAGCUAACGCUUUAAGUACCCCGCCUGGGGAGUACGGCCGCAAGGCUAAAACUCAAAGGAAUUGACGGGGCCCCGCACAAGCGGCGGAGCAUGCGGAUUAAUUCGAUGCAACGCGUAGAACCUUACCUGGGUUUGACAUGGAUCGGGAGUGCUCAGAGAUGGGUGUGCCUCUUUUGGGGUCGGUUCACAGGUGGUGCAUGGCUGUCGUCAGCUCGUGUCGUGAGAUGUUGGGUUAAGUCCCGCAACGAGCGCAACCCUUGUUCACUGUUGCCAGCACGUUAUGGUGGGGACUCAGUGGAGACCGCCGGGGUCAGCUCGGAGGAAGGUGGGGAUGACGUCAAGUCAUCAUGCCCCUUAUGUCCAGGGCUUCACGCAUGCUACAAUGGCUGGUACAGAGAGUGGCGAGCCUGUGAGGGUGAGCGAAUCUCGGAAAGCCGGUCUCAGUUCGGAUUGGGGUCUGCAACUCGACCUCAUGAAGUCGGAGUCGCUAGUAAUCGCAGAUCAGCAACGCUGCGGUGAAUACGUUCCCGGG